Molecule: ribosomal RNA, 768 nt
Filed under: uncultured bacterium
Lineage: Bacteria
Description: bacterial SSU rRNA
Rfam family: Bacterial small subunit ribosomal RNA
Source: RNAcentral
AGAGUUUGAUCCUGGCUCAGAUUGAACGCUGGCGGCAGGCCUAACACAUGCAAGUCGAGCGGUAACAGGGGUAGCUUGCUACCCGCUGACGAGCGGCGGACGGGUGAGUAAUGCAUAGGAAUUUACCCGAUAGUGGGGGAUAACCUGGGGAAACCCAGGCUAAUACCGCAUACGUCCUACGGGAGAAAGGGGGCUCCGGCUCCCGCUAUCGGAUGAGCCUAUGCCGGAUUAGCUGGUUGGUGAGGUAAUGGCUCACCAAGGCGACGAUCCGUAGCUGGUCUGAGAGGAUGAUCAGCCACAUCGGGACUGAGACACGGCCCGAACUCCUACGGGAGGCAGCAGUGGGGAAUAUUGGACAAUGGGGGCAACCCUGAUCCAGCCAUGCCGCGUGUGUGAAGAAGGCCCUCGGGUUGUAAAGCACUUUCAGUGAGGAAGAACGCCUGAUGGUUAAUACCCGUCAGGAAAGACAUCACUCACAGAAGAAGCACCGGCUAACUCCGUGCCAGCAGCCGCGGUAAUACGGAGGGUGCAAGCGUUAAUCGGAAUUACUGGGCGUAAAGCGCGCGUAGGUGGCUUGAUAAGCCGGUUGUGAAAGCCCCGGGCUCAACCUGGGAACGGCAUCCGGAACUGUCAGGCUAGAGUGCAGGAGAGGAAGGUAGAAUUCCCGGUGUAGCGGUGAAAUGCGUAGAGAUCGGGAGGAAUACCAGUGGCGAAGGCGGCCUUCUGGACUGACACUGACACUGAAGUGCGAAAGCGUGGGUAGCAAAC